AUUGAACGCUGGCGGCAUGCCUUACACAUGCAAGUCGAACGGCAGCACGGGAGCAAUCCUGGUGGCGAGUGGCGAACGGGUGAGUAAUAUAUCGGAACGUGCCCAGUCGUGGGGAUAACGUAGCGAAAGCUACGCUAAUACCGCAUACGAUCUAUGGAUGAAAGCGGGGGAUCGCAAGACCUCGCGCGAUUGGAGCGGCCGAUAUCAGAUUAGGUAGUUGGUGAGGUAAAGGCUCACCAAGCCGACGAUCUGUAGCUGGUCUGAGAGGACGACCAGCCACACUGGGACUGAGACACGGCCCAGACUCCUACGGGAGGCAGCAGUGGGGAAUUUUGGACAAUGGGCGCAAGCCUGAUCCAGCAAUGCCGCGUGCAGGAUGAAGGCCUCGGUUCGGUUAACGUAGUACUUUGUUACGUAAC
This 419-nucleotide ribosomal RNA is filed under the name uncultured bacterium. Its description in RNAcentral is "bacterial SSU rRNA". It matches the Rfam family "Bacterial small subunit ribosomal RNA", at positions 30 to 451 of the family's 1533-position model. The record is from RNAcentral.